GUGUUGUAUGAAAAGGAGAGAGGUCAAUACUAGCCUUGAUAAAGAUAAAAGGAUCUUCAGCCCACAGGAAACACAUGUGAAUAACGUGUUGUGAUCUUCUUUGCAUCAUUUAAUCAUACCUUUUC
Molecule: small nuclear RNA, 125 nt
Organism: Perognathus longimembris pacificus (Pacific pocket mouse)
Lineage: Eukaryota; Metazoa; Chordata; Mammalia; Rodentia; Heteromyidae
Source: RefSeq, a predicted model, not a curated record